This is a long non-coding RNA of Notothenia coriiceps (black rockcod), 1174 nucleotides long. RefSeq lists it as uncharacterized. The record is from RefSeq and is a predicted model, not a curated record. NCBI's taxonomy places the organism in Eukaryota, Metazoa, Chordata, Actinopteri, Perciformes, Nototheniidae. The transcript has 3 exons.
UCAUGUUUUGAUCAGCCACAGGGCACACGGGCAGCCAAACAAUACUCUGCAGCCAGAAAGGGAGACUUUUGUUGACCAUGCAGGAAAUGAAGCCAACAAGACAAGUUCAGCAACGGGAAGCCUGUUGCCAGGCAACAGCCCAGAGUGUAUGAUUAAAACUUUGAUUUCCAAUCUAUCACCUGAGAGACUGAUGUGGCUUCCUUCCUCUGAUGCUCCGCAGAGCAGCUGGGAUGGACUCGUGCACGGCAGCUCCACACUCGCCAAAUGAAUCUUUACUGUGAAAUGAAACAUUUGGUUCACAUGGAGCCGGGCUUCCUCAUCUUCCAGCAACUUGACAUCCAGCUACACCUUCAGAAUGUCAUUUUGUGUCCUGAUUCAAAACUUGUGCUCACCUAACUUGGUUCAUUUGGGGAUUUCUGGACAUUUGUUUUCUCCUGACUCCUGGUAGCUUUGGUCUUCUGCCCAUUCAGCCAUGACUUUAAAUAAAAGUAGUAAGGGUAUGAGACGGAUAAAAGGAGGAACAAAACUUCAUUCAUGUGUGCUUUUUUGGAUGUCAAAGGCCUCGCAGAUGACGGUGUUACAACCAGGUUUCAUCACUGUGAUUGAUUCUGAUCCGUCUGAGAUACUCUUAAGUUCUGGGUGACGAUUUGAAAGAUGAAUAGAGGAGGAAGGAACAGAGCGUAGGUGUUUGUGAGUGUGAGUCCUUCCACAUUCACAUAUAAUGAGCAGUGUCAGGGCCUCCUAACAGUUCGGCCUCAGGCAAUAAAGUGAUACAUGAAUUUCAUAUUUAUCGAGGCAUGUCUGUGUAGAAAAAUGAAAGGUGUGUGUGUGUGACACGCACAUGUUCAAUAUAUGUGUGCCAGCGAUCCGAGAUUUAUCUAGAGAGGCUGCUCCCCUCUGGCAUCCAUGGCACCCCAAUAGGGAGGAAAUCAAAUCUAGAGGCCAAAGAUGAUACGUUGGUGACACACAGAGAAAAAAGGAUGAGGCGAAAGUGAGAUGAGAUGUUGCGCUCCGAGCGGAGAAAAACUUGAAAAAGAGAUGGAAUGAAAGGGUGAAAAUUGACGGACAUUUUGUGGCUUCAGGAGACGGAAUGAAAAAAUAAAGAGGUCUGAGAUUGGAGAGAGGAAGGAGACACAAGGGGACUUGACAGUGGCAGCCACAUUAAAAAGGAAGA